GACGAACGCUGGCGGCGUGCUUAACACAUGCAAGUCGAACGGAAAGGCCCUGCUUUUGUGGGGUGCUCGAGUGGCGAACGGGUGAGUAACAUGUGAGUAACCUGCCCUUGACUUUGGGAUAACUUCAGGAAACUGGGGCUAAUACCGGAUAGGAGCUCCUGCUGCAUGGUGGGGGUUGGAAAGUUUCGGCGGUUGGGGAUGGACUCGCGGCUUAUCAGCUUGUUGGUGGGGUAGUGGCUUACCAAGGCUUUGACGGGUAGCCGGCCUGAGAGGGUGACCGGCCACAUUGGGAAGGAGACAGGGCCCAGACUCCUCGGGGAGGAAGCGGGGGGAAAUUUGGAACAGGGGGGGGAAGCCUGAUGCAGCAACGCCGCGUGGGGGAUGAGGGCCUUGGGUUGGAAAACCGCUUGCGCUUGUGACGAGGGGGGAGGGAGGGUAAUGGGUAAAGAAGCCCCGGCUAACUACGUG
RNAcentral lists this ribosomal RNA (468 nucleotides) under uncultured bacterium. Its description in RNAcentral is "partial 16S ribosomal RNA". It matches the Rfam family "Bacterial small subunit ribosomal RNA", at positions 28 to 507 of the family's 1533-position model. The record is from RNAcentral.